RNAcentral lists this ribosomal RNA (491 nucleotides) under uncultured bacterium. RNAcentral's name for it is "partial 16S ribosomal RNA". It matches the Rfam family "Bacterial small subunit ribosomal RNA", at positions 29 to 507 of the family's 1533-position model. The record is from RNAcentral.
AGUGAACGCUGGCGGUAGGCCUAACACAUGCAAGUCGAACGGCAGCACAGUAAGAGCUUGCUCUUACGGGUGGCGAGUGGCGGACGGGUGAGGAAUACAUCGGACUCUACUUUUUCGUGGGGGUUAACGUAGGGAAACUUACGAUAAUACCGCAUACGACCUACGGGUGAAAGCAGGGGAUCUUCGGACCUUGCGCGAUUGAAUGAGCCGAUGUGGGAUUAGCUAGUUGGCGGGGUACAGGCCAACCAGGGCGACGAUCCGUAGCUGGUCUGAGAGGAUGUACACCGACAGUGAAGGUGAGCGGCGACCCUGAUCCUUAGGGAAGGCACAGGUGGGUAUAGUGGGCAAUAGGGGCAAGCCUGGUCCAGCCAUACCGCGUGUGUGAAGAAGGCCUUCGGGUUGUAAAGCCCUUUUGUUGGGAAAGAAAAGCAGCAGGUUAAUACCCCGCUGUUCUGACGGUACCCAAAGAAUAAGCACCGGCUAACUUCGUG